AUGGCGGAGCUGACGGUGGAGGUUCGUGGCUCCAACGGGGCUUUUUAUAAGGGAUUUAUCAAAGACAUUCAUGAAGACUCCCUCACAGUUGUUUUUGAAAAUAAUUGGCAACCAGAACGCCAGGUUCCAUUUAAUGAAGUUAGAUUACCACCACCACCUGAUAUUAAAAAAGAAAUUAGUGAAGGAGAUGAAGUAGAGGUAUAUUCAAGAGCAAAUGACCAAGAACCAUGUGGAUGGUGGUUGGCUAAAGUGCGGAUGAUGAAAGGAGAAUUUUAUGUCACUGAAUAUGCUGCUUGUGAUGCCACUUACAAUGAAAUAGUCCCAUUUGAACGACUUUGGCCUGUCAAUCAAAAUAAAACUGUCAAAAAAAAUACCUUCUUUAAAUGCACAGUGGAUGUUCCUGAGGAUUUGAGAGAGGCAUGUGCUAAUGAAAAUGCACAUAAAGACUUCAAGAAAGCAAUGGGAGCCUGCAGAAUAUUUUACCACCCAGAAACCACACAGCUAAUGAUACUGUCUGCUAGUGAAGCAACUGUGAAGAGAGUAAAUAUUUUAAGUGACAUGCAUUUGCGAAGUAUUCGUACGAAGUUGAUGCUUAUGUCCAGAAAUGAAGAGGCUACUAAACAUUUAGAAUGCACAAAACAACUUGCAGCUGCUUUUCAUGAAGAAUUUGUUGUGAGAGAAGACUUAAUGGGCUUGGCAAUAGGAACACAUGGUAGUAAUAUACAACAAGCUAGGAAGGUUCCUGGAGUUACCGCUAUUGAGCUAGAUGAAGAUACUGGAACUUUUAGAAUCUAUGGAGAGAGUGCUGAUGCUGUAAAAAAGGCUAGAGGUUUCUUGGAAUUUGUGGAGGAUUUUAUUCAGGUUCCUAGGAAUCUUGUUGGUAAAGUGAUUGGAAAAAAUGGCAAAGUUAUUCAAGAAAUAGUGGACAAAUCAGGUGUUGUUCGGGAGAGAAUUGAAGGAGACAAUGAAAAUAAGCUACCUAGAGAAGAUGGGAUGGUUCCAUUUGUAUUUGUUGGCACUAAAGAAAGCAUUGGAAAUGUACAAGUUCUUUUAGAAUAUCAUAUUGCUUAUCUAAAGGAAGUGGAACAACUAAGAAUGGAACGCCUGCAGAUUGAUGAACAGCUACGACAGAUUGGUUCUAGGUCUUAUAGUGGAAGAGGCAGAGGUCGUCAGGGCCCUAAUUACACCUCCGGUUAUGGUACAAAUUCUGAGCUGUCUAACCCCUCUGAAACCGAAUCUGAACGUAAAGAUGAGCUGAGUGAUUGGUCAUUGGCAGGAGAAGAUGAUCGAGAGAGCCGGCAUCAACGUGACAGCAGGAGACGCCCAGGAGAAAGAGGCAGAAGUGUUUCAGGGGGUCGAGGUCGAGGUGGACCACGUGGUGGCAAAUCUUCCAUCAGUUCUGUGCUCAAAGAUCCAGACAGCAAUCCAUACAGCUUACUUGAUAAUACAGAAUCAGAUCAGACUGCAGACACUGAUGCCAGCGAAUCCCAUCACAGUACUAACCGUCGUAGGCGGUCUCGUAGACGAAGGACUGAUGAAGAUGCUGUUCUGAUGGAUGGAAUGACGGAAUCUGAUACAGCUUCAGUUAAUGAAAAUGGGCUAGGAAAUAAUAAGAGCAAAUACUGGACACAGUGCUCCAUCCCUAUAACCCCAGCUACUCGAAUGGCUGAGGCAAAAUCACAAGUCUGGAGCAAGCCCGGGUAA
Octodon degus (degu) is the source of this 1704-nucleotide RNA transcript. It is a transcript of the gene named fragile X mental retardation syndrome-related protein 1 pseudogene, with no coding region annotated. The record is from RefSeq and is a predicted model, not a curated record. The transcript has 2 exons. NCBI's taxonomy places the organism in Eukaryota, Metazoa, Chordata, Mammalia, Rodentia, Octodontidae.